This is a long non-coding RNA of Oryctolagus cuniculus (rabbit), 1873 nucleotides long. NCBI's taxonomy places the organism in Eukaryota, Metazoa, Chordata, Mammalia, Lagomorpha, Leporidae. The record is from Ensembl.
AUGUCCCAGGUCCAGCAGGGGUUGGUCAGGUCCAGCCAGGCGGCAGUCGCCCCCACGCCCAAUCCGGGCUCAGGAAGGGGUUGCCCUAUCGAAUGCAAGCCUGGCAGGGUGGAGGUGUCCCCCGUGCUGGCCAUGACUGGGCAGGGGGCCCACUGCUCCUCAGUGGGGCCUGGGGGCAGGGGUCUACCUGAGGCGGGCCAGCUCUGCACUGGCCUCUCAGGGCCCAGAUGGGGACAGGGGAGCAGUGGGCACUUGGGUCAGCCCAGCUCCAGAAAGGAGGGUCCAGGUCAGAAGCAGCGCCCCCAGGGGGCGGCAUUCUGUCCUGCAGCAAGACCUCAGAGGCUGGGCGUGAUAACAGCGCAGACCCUGGGACCUGGGACCCGGCCCCUCCAGGAUGGCCCCCCAUCUCUGUGCUCCUGUCGGCUGGGGACAGCACAUUCCUGGGGAAUUAGAGUGGCUAACGACCUGGGGUGGGCCCGGGAGUCCUGUGUGCCCGUCUCUCCUCACCUCUGCUCUGCAGGGUGCUCGCCCAGGGAGUGGGGCUGCUCUUGGGGUCCUGUCUCCCUCAUCAUAGCCCACACAGCAGUAGGACCGGGACCACAGCCACGGCCCCCCCACCUGCUAGCUGGGUGGGGAGGGCUCUGGCUGCUGCCAAGGAACCACCAGGAGCCCUCGUCCCCCGAGCAGCCAGGCCCCUGUGUGGCCACCCCAGAGCACCCCGUGGUCUGGGCAGAGGGGCGAGGCUCAGCAGUGUCGUGGGCAUCUGAGGCCUCUAGGGGCUGCAGGCACAGAUGGACAGAGCUAGAACUCUGUCCCCUGGGCCUCACAGGCUCCUCCCUGCUGCUCCCAGACAGGAGACAGAAGAACCUGUGACCUCCCCCAAGAUCCAAAGCUAGGGCGGGCAGGGGCAGGGCCUGGCGCCUGGGCAGCUCAGAGCAUGGGCGGGGACACAGGCAGGUCCUCCCACCAGGGCAAUGGCUCCAGGAGCUGCCCUCAGCAGUCUCCCAGCUCAGGCACCACCUCAGGGGAGGCCUUAGAACCCCGUCCAGGUGGCCAGUAGGGGCAAGACUCUCACCUCCACCAAGGACCCCCACGGUGCCCACACACCUGCCCAGGGCCAGCCACAGCCCACACCCCCCUGGGCCAGCCUGUCUGGGAAAUGGGGCCUCCGGCUCCGCGGGAUGCGUGGGCUGGGCCUGCCCGGAUGCCACUGUCCCUGGCCCGGGUCCUAGCAGUGAAGAAACCGCCCAAGAGGGCACGUGCCUGAAACAGAUGGACCCCAGAGCAACAGCAGGUGCUGGGACUUGCAGGCCACAGGUCUCCAGGUCAGGAGCGCCUCCCAGUGCCAGCCCAGCCCAGCAGGCUCCCAACGCCCCUCCCCCUCCCCAAGCUCCCUUCCCAGGCCCCACAGCCAUGACCCGGGCUGCCCACCCAGAUGCACCCAGGGCCUGCAGGGAGGCGGCCCCAAGCCCCAGCCCAGCUGCACCCUCACGCGCCCCUGCUGCUGUGCGUACCUCGGAGGGAGCUGGCAGCCCUCGCCGUGAGCAGCAGUGGCGCUGGGGGCUCCAUCCGCUCGGAGGCUUUCUGUGGCCUCUUGAGCUCACGCUGGGCCCCGAUGCCCCCGAGCCACAGAAGGGCCACAGCCGCGGCCCAGGCCCAGGCCCAGCACGCGUGGCUGCGGGGAUCAGCCUGUGCUCACGGGGCAGCAGCGUAGAGGUCCCAGCGCGGGGGCGACCCCGGGCACACCUGGCAGCCGCCUGCGCCCCUCUAUGCAGAGCAAAGCAAGGGCGCCCCUCUGCCCCAGAUCUGGCUCCAGAGGGAGGGCUCCCCCGAGCUCCCCACCCACCCACCACUGCCUCCACCACCCCUCUGA